This is a long non-coding RNA of Pleuronectes platessa (European plaice), 872 nucleotides long. RefSeq lists it as uncharacterized. The transcript has 3 exons. The record is from RefSeq and is a predicted model, not a curated record. NCBI's taxonomy places the organism in Eukaryota, Metazoa, Chordata, Actinopteri, Pleuronectiformes, Pleuronectidae.
UCCUCUCUGCUGGAGCUGUUUCCAACCUGCUCUUCAAAUACCCAGGAUUACUGCCUCUGUCUUUUGGGGUUAACUUUGCGGGUAUCAUCGCAGCUGUGGUUGCAGCCUGUCUGAUAAGCGUCGACCUGGUUCACUGGCAUCCGAUGAAUGACAUGCAUCUGCUGCAUUUGAGGAUUGAAGUUCUGGAACUUUGUGUGAUGGGGCUUGAGGUUUUCCUCUCUGCGAUUCUCUGCUUCUUCUUCGUUAAAGAGAAACGUGCCAAAUCACCAUGAUAAAGCUGGUUGAUUCUUUUUUCUUCAUCAUGUGUGGCUUUUAGUUGUCUUGAUUGUAUAUGUGGAGCUGAAACCGCUGCUGAAAAGGAUGGGCUGUGGGCUGUGUCGGAUGUUUGACUUGGACUGAGGACACAAGGCUUGCGGUCGGCAAAUGUCAGCGUCUCUCAUGUGAAAUAAAAGUCACUCUUCAACCUCCUCAACCGUGGUGGGCCUCAUAGUGCAGCUCUGUCUGGCCUCUCUGCAGGGCCCUGUGUGUGUGGGUGUGGAUUCACACUCGUGUUGUCUUAUUAGUUUUGAAAUAUCUGCUUUUUGUUUUCAGUUUCUCACAGAGGUUUUUACAGAGCUCAGAAGUAUUUGUGUCUUAUAGGUUUUUCUUAGGUUUCGAAUAAAUAGCCACAGGUGGAAAUACUCAAUUUCAUAUUUGGUGUGACAAAGAUAAGAAUAAAACGAUAUGUUUUUCACAUUUUAAUCAUCUUUACAAACUCGUCUUAACACAGAUCUGGUGACAAAAGAAACUAACUAUAAAAAAUCGUCUGUGUGGAUCUGUCUGCUACCUUUUUUUUGUAAAAUACAUAAUAAAAAACUCAUCUACAAUAUUAA